RNAcentral lists this ribosomal RNA (443 nucleotides) under uncultured bacterium. RNAcentral's name for it is "partial 16S ribosomal RNA". It matches the Rfam family "Bacterial small subunit ribosomal RNA", at positions 338 to 795 of the family's 1533-position model. The record is from RNAcentral.
CCUACGGGAGGCAGCAGUGGGGAAUAUUGGGCAAUGGGCGCAAGCCUGACCCAGCAACGCCGCGUGAAGGAAGAAGGCUUUCGGGUUGUAAACUUCUUUUCUCAGGGACGAAGAAAGUGACGGUACCUGAGGAAUAAGCCACGGCUAACUACGUGCCAGCAGCCGCGGUAAUACGUAGGUGGCAAGCGUUAUCCGGAUUUAUUGGGUGUAAAGGGCGUGUAGGCGGGAGCGCAAGUCAGAUGUGAAAACUCAGGGCUCAACCCUGAGCCUGCAUUUGAAACUGUGUUUCUUGAGUGCUGGAGAGGCAAUCGGAAUUCCGUGUGUAGCGGGGAAAUGCGUAGAUAUACGGAGGAACACCAGUGGCGAAGGCGGCUCUCUGGACUGUAACUGACACUGAGGCACGAAAGCGUGGGGAGCAAACAGGAUUAGAUACCCCUGUAGUC